GGUUUACUCAUUGAUGCAGGUCUUUAAUUGUUACCUUUAAUUGAUAAAAUUCUAGUCAUCUUGACUAUUUUUGAAAUAUGUCUCAUUUCCUUAUUUCAUAUUAAACUCAAGACAAUGAAAAACAAAAAACAUAAACAUUAAAUAUACAUGUAGUUUGUUUAUUUGCUGAUCUACUCACAGAAAGACACUCACAAAUAAUUUAAAAUAUCUUAACAAAGGCUUAAAGCCUAUUUGCAUAAAUUAACAUAAGUUAACAAUAAGAGUUAAGCAUGUUAUUACUGAUUUGCAUAUACAAAUUCUCUGAACACAUUGUGCUUCUAGAAUUAAAUCAUAGUUUCAUAAUUGGUUCUUUAUGCAUGCAACACUGAACAUUUGACUGUUAUUUUUAAAUGAGUCCAAAAGAAAACAGCUGAUCUCUCAUUUCUUAUUCAACCCCAUCUUAGCCUGGAAGAAAACUCCAUCACCAAGUGUAGAUUGCUACAAAAGAUGAAAAAAUAUAUAAAAUUUUAAAUGACAUAACAUCACAGCAACAGAUGAUAAUAUAUGUGCAGACUGUUGCGCCUC
Molecule: long non-coding RNA, 564 nt
Filed under: Mytilus galloprovincialis (Mediterranean mussel)
Lineage: Eukaryota; Metazoa; Mollusca; Bivalvia; Mytilida; Mytilidae
Source: RNAcentral